UUCCCCUUCUCUUCACCUUCACCUCACUUACUCCCAAUCAUUUCAUCACAACCCGCAUGUUACACCUCAACUCUCAAGUUGCAAGAAUAACCAUCAACUAGUAAUUUAUAGACUUGAAUUUCAUGGAACCAUACCAAUGAAUAACCACUUUUGACAACAUCCAAACAUGACAUGAAAGAGUUUUGUAAAUUUAGCACAUAAAAAUUUCAUUGAGUGGAAUAGCCAAUACCUAGUAGAAUAGCCACCAAACAUGUCCAAAUAUAAGGAUUCAUGCCAAAAACAGAAAAAAU
This 290-nucleotide long non-coding RNA is filed under the name Carica papaya (papaya). Its description in RNAcentral is "long non-coding RNA (CPAP_LNC001528)". The record is from RNAcentral. Lineage: Eukaryota; Viridiplantae; Streptophyta; Magnoliopsida; Brassicales; Caricaceae.